RNAcentral lists this ribosomal RNA (305 nucleotides) under uncultured bacterium. Its description in RNAcentral is "partial 16S ribosomal RNA". It matches the Rfam family "Bacterial small subunit ribosomal RNA", at positions 505 to 809 of the family's 1533-position model. The record is from RNAcentral.
ACAGCAGCAGCCGCGGUAAUACGGAGGGUGCAAGCGUUAUUCGGAAUUACUGGGCGUAAAGCGUGCGUAGGCGGUUCGUUAAGUCUGUUGUGAAAGCCCCGGGCUCAACCUGGGAAUGGCAAUGGAUACUGGCGAGCUAGAGUGUGUCAGAGGAUGGUGGAAUUCCCGGUGUAGCGGUGAAAUGCGUAGAGAUCGGGAGGAACAUCAGUGGCGAAGGCGGCCAUCUGGGACAACACUGACGCUGAGGCACGAAAGCGUGGGGAGCAAACAGGAUUAGAUACCCGCGUAGUCCCUGUCUCUUAUAU